CGCCUGGGUACUACGAGCACAGCUUAAAACCCAAAGGACUUGGCGGUGUCUCAGAUCCACCUAGAGGAGCCUGUUCUAGAACCGAUAAACCCCGUUAAACCUCACCACUUCUCGCCAAUUCCGUCUAUAUACCGCCGUCGCAAGCUUACCCCGUGAGGGUUUAAUAGUAAGCAAAAUGAGUAAAACCCAAAACGUCAGGUCGAGGUGUAGCAUACGAAGUGGGAAGAAAUGGGCUACAUUUUCUAUCACAGAAAACCACGGAAUUAUGUACUGAAACGUACUCUUGAAGGAGGAUUUAGAAGUAAAAAGAAAACAGAGAGUCCUUUUGAACCAGGCUCUGAGACAAGC
Molecule: ribosomal RNA, 348 nt
Filed under: Corydoras simulatus
Lineage: Eukaryota; Metazoa; Chordata; Actinopteri; Siluriformes; Callichthyidae
Description: partial 12S ribosomal RNA
Rfam family: Bacterial small subunit ribosomal RNA
Source: RNAcentral